This 468-nucleotide ribosomal RNA is filed under the name uncultured bacterium. RNAcentral describes it as "partial 16S ribosomal RNA". It matches the Rfam family "Bacterial small subunit ribosomal RNA", at positions 28 to 507 of the family's 1533-position model. The record is from RNAcentral.
GACGAACGCUGGCGGCGUGCUUAACACAUGCAAGUCGAACGGAAAGGCCCUGCUUUUGUGGGGUGCUCGAGUGGCGAACGGGUGAGUAACACGUGAGUAACCUGCCCUUGACUUUGGGAUAACUUCAGGAAACUGGGGCUAAUACCGGAUAGGAGCUCCUGCUGCAUGGUGGGGGUUGGAAAGUUUCGGCGGUUGGGGAUGGACUCGCGGCUUAUCAGCUUGUUGGUGGGGUAGUGGCUUACCAAGGCUUUGACGGGUAGCCGGCCUGAGAGGGUGACCGGCCACAUUGGGACUGAGAUACGGCCCAGAAUCCUACGGGAGGCAGCAGUGGGGAAUAUUGCACAAUGGGCGGAAGCCUGAUGCAGCAACGCCGCGUGCGGGAUGACGGCCUUCGGGUUGUAAACCGCUUUCGACUGUGACGAAGCGUGAGUGACGGUAAUGGGUAAAGAAGCACCGGCUAACUACGUG